Molecule: long non-coding RNA, 2030 nt
Organism: Clupea harengus (Atlantic herring)
Lineage: Eukaryota; Metazoa; Chordata; Actinopteri; Clupeiformes; Clupeidae
Source: Ensembl
AGGAGAAGGAGGAGAAGGAGAGGGAGAAGGAGAAGGAGAAGAAGGAGAAGGAGAAGGAGGAGAAGGAGAGGGAGAAGGAGAAGGAGAAGGAGGAGAAGGAGAGGGAGAAGGAGAGGGAGAGGGAGAAAUGGAUAGACAUGGCAAUAUCAAGAAUGGCUGAAAGUGAGAAGAGAAAAUGGGAGGAGAGGAGGAUAAGGGAGGAAGAAAGACAAACUGAGGUGGAGUGGAAAAGGAUUGAGGCAGAGAGAAGCAAAGUGGAAGAAAUGAAAUUGACAGAGAGAAUUGAGCUGGAGAUCCUGAGGAAGAAAAGGAAGGUGGGAGAGGAAAAGCAGAGAGGGAAGGAAGCCAUCGAGAGGGGAAAGGACGCAAUAAGAAAGAAGGCUCUUGAAAAGGAGAGGGGAAGCAUUGAAAAAGAGAGAGUGAAACUGAUGGAGGAGAAGAGGGCGGUAGAGGAAAUGAAGGCUAGAGUUGACCAAGAUAGACUGGAGAUUGAAGAAAUAAAGCUAAGAGAGACUCAACAAAGAGAGCUAGAAUAUGUGAACAGAAAGAAAGAGUUGGAGGGUGAGAAAAGAAAGGCUGAUGCAAAGAGAGAGAGAAUGAGGGAAGAAAUGGAGAAAGGUCUGAAGGAGGUGGAGGUGCAGAAAGAGAAACUUGAAGAAAACGAGAUGAGGCUCAGGGAGAAGUUAGCAAAGAAGAAAGAGAAGGUUCUCAUGAGAAAGAAAGAGUUGGAGGAUGAAUGUCAAAAAAUUGAAACUGAAAAAAGGAGAGUUGAAGAGGAAUUGAAGGCGGUGCAGGAGAAAGUGAAUCUCCUGAAAGCACAACUGCUGGAGGGCAAAAGAAAGAUGGAGAUGCAGAGAAAUGAGGAGGGAAUGAGCAAGUCAAGGGUGGAGCAAGAGUGGAAGAUGCUUGAGAUGGAGAAAAAGAGAAUGGAGGAGAAAAUGGAGAUGGAGAGGAAAGAGGUGGAGGCUCAGAGACUGCACCUGCAAGAGAAGGAGAGAAAGCUCAAGGAGGACGUGACAAUGAAGAAAGAGAAGAACGCCUCAAAAAAGAAAGAGGUUGAGGAAGGAUGGAAAAAUAUUGAGGCAGAGAGGAAAACUGAAAAUGAGAGGAUGACAUCCAGAAAGAAGGAGGUCGAGGAUAAGUGGAAAAAGAUCGAAACUGAGAGGAGGACAAUGGAGGAGAGGAUAAAGAGUGAAGUCAAUAAAGUGGAGAUUCAGAGACAGAGACUGCUGAGGAUGGAGAAAGAGAAUUGGGACAGAAAGGAGCCAAAGCCUGAAGCCUGUAACAAUGAUUCUCCUGGAAAGUGUGAUGAGAGUAGAGACAGACAAGAGACUAAACCAAACAAAAACAUGAAUGUGGAAGAAUGCACUCAGGACAAGACUGUAGGUCAAAAGAAUAACGAUAGCAAAGAAUCAGAGACAAGAAAAGCACCCAAGAUGCAAGUUGAGGGGACAGUGACUGAAAAUGAACAUGAAAAGGACGUUGACAAUUCUCCAUGGGACAGUGAUGAGAGUGAGCGCAAGGUCACCACAGAGAAGGAAGAGGCUAAAUUGAUCCAGAAAAAUAAGGAAAAGGUGAAGAUGCAGGACACAGACUUUGGUAUAAAUGACAAAGACAACAUGGAGGAUAAAAUGGAGAUGGAGAUGAAAGAGGUGGAGGCUCAGAGACUGCACCUGCAAGAGAAGGAGAGAAAGCUCAAGGAGGACGUGACAAUGAAGAAAGAGAAGCACGCCUCAAAAAUGAAAGAGGUUGAGGAAGGAUGGAAAAAUAUUGAGGCAGAGAGGAAAACUGAAAAUGAGAGGAUGACAUCAAGAAAGAAGGAGGUCGAGGAUGAGUGGAAAAAGAUCGAAACUGAGAGGAGGACAAUGGAGGAGAGGAUAGAGAGUGAAGUCAAUAAAGUGGAGAUGCAGAGAAAUGAGGAGGGAAUGAGCAAGUCAAGGGUCGAGGAUGAGUGGAAAAAGAUCGAAACUGAGAGGAGGACAAUGGAGGAGAGGAUAGAGAGUGAAGUCAAUAAAGUGGAGAUUCAGAGA